This 74-nucleotide transfer RNA is filed under the name Tritrichomonas foetus. RNAcentral describes it as "tRNA-Gln". It matches the Rfam family "tRNA". From Rfam's summary of the family: Transfer RNA (tRNA) molecules are approximately 80 nucleotides in length. The record is from RNAcentral. Lineage: Eukaryota; Parabasalia; Tritrichomonadida; Tritrichomonadidae.
GGUCCUGUAGUGUAACGGUAUCACAUGGGACUCUGAAUCCCGUGACCCAGGUUCGACUCCUGGCAGGACCACUA